UCCUACGGGAGGCAGCAGUGAGGAAUAUUGGUCAAUGGACGAAAGUCUGAACCAGCCAAGUAGCGUGCAGGAAGACGGCCCUCUGGGCUGUAAACUGCUUUUAGUUGGGAAUAAAAAGAGGGACGUGUCCCUUAUUGUAUGUACCAUCAGAAAAAGGACCGGCUAAUUCCGUGC
RNAcentral lists this ribosomal RNA (174 nucleotides) under uncultured bacterium. Its description in RNAcentral is "partial 16S ribosomal RNA". It matches the Rfam family "Bacterial small subunit ribosomal RNA", at positions 337 to 508 of the family's 1533-position model. The record is from RNAcentral.